This 387-nucleotide ribosomal RNA is filed under the name uncultured bacterium. RNAcentral's name for it is "bacterial SSU rRNA". It matches the Rfam family "Bacterial small subunit ribosomal RNA", at positions 29 to 416 of the family's 1533-position model. The record is from RNAcentral.
AUUGAACGCUGGCGGAAUGCUUUACACAUGCAAGUCGAGCGGCAGCGCGGGGGCAACCCUGGCGGCGAGCGGCGAACGGGUGAGUAACAUAUCGGAACGUACCCAGUCGUGGGGGAUAACUAUCCGAAAGGAUAGCUAAUACCGCAUACGUCCUGAGGGAGAAAGCGGGGGAUCGCAAGACCUCGCGCGAUUGGAGCGGCCGAUAUCGGAUUAGCUAGUUGGUGGGGUAAAGGCUCACCAAGGCGACGAUCCGUAGCGGGUCUGAGAGGACGACCCGCCACACUGGAACUGAGACACGGUCCAGACUCCUACGGGAGGCAGCAGUGGGGGAAUUUUGGACAAUGGGGGCAACCCUGAUCCAGCCAUUCCGCGUGAGUGAAGAAGGCC